Molecule: long non-coding RNA, 361 nt
Organism: Oncorhynchus keta (chum salmon)
Lineage: Eukaryota; Metazoa; Chordata; Actinopteri; Salmoniformes; Salmonidae
Exons: 2
Source: RefSeq, a predicted model, not a curated record
GACAGUUAGACUUACAGGUUAUGUCGUUGUCUUUUGUUUGAAUUGUUUAUGUGUCCGCUGUGCGGGGAAAUGAUAAUACAAGCGGAACUACGUAGCUAAUACUGUUGUAACGGGGAUCCUUAUUGUAGCAACACACCUUUGGAGGGAAGGCAAUCCUGCGCUGCGUUAGCUAAGUUUUCAUGUCAUCGGGUGUAGUUCAUAAUGGUUGAAGAGUGUAUGUUAGGAUGAAGUGUGAAUUCAUGCCAGGAAUAAUAAGUGUGAAGUUUAAUUUCCUCCCUUCUGUAAUAAGCAGCCAAUGAGUUCUCACGGAAGGUGAUAAUUCUGACUAAAACUACAGAAUAAAGCCGCCAGUUAAAAUCAA